Regulatory RNA element from Listeria monocytogenes EGD-e, 100 nucleotides. It matches the Rfam family "Listeria sRNA rli56". Lineage: Bacteria; Bacillati; Bacillota; Bacilli; Caryophanales; Listeriaceae. The record is from Rfam.
CGUGUGGAAUUAUAAAUAUAGCAGAGCAACGGGGCUCCCUCAAAAAUAUUGCACAAUAUUUUUAAGGGGCUCUUUCUAUUUUCUUGGAGAAAUUUUUCUC